AACAGAGCAGAAACAGAACAU
RNAcentral lists this microRNA (21 nucleotides) under Arabidopsis thaliana (thale cress). RNAcentral's name for it is "ath-miR415". Its record names the gene ath-miR415. The record is from miRBase by way of RNAcentral. Lineage: Eukaryota; Viridiplantae; Streptophyta; Magnoliopsida; Brassicales; Brassicaceae.